AAGCGCAAACUUCGAAUGAUGAUUGAUCAUAUUUCACUACAUUUAUAUAUUAAAAUGGUAAUAGAUAACACUACUUCAACAGUACAAUAGGCCAUGAGAGGGUUUUUUGUGUUCGUCACUUAUUCUAAACUUAAGUAAACGUACCGUAACGGAAUAGUAACAUUGAGCAUGAGGAUAACAUAGUCGGGAAUGGCUGAAGACGUUUUGUCGGAGCUUUUACGUCAUACGUACUUACCCACUAAUGCCUGGUAGGCACUAGGCCACUUAAAUAAACCGCAACCACAUUAGAUCAACUGAUUUAUUCCACGCAUAUAAUAUAACUACAUAAUUUUUAUAAAAUUAUUAUAAAGAUAAAGAUUAUUUCUUAAUCUUUUUUAAAAGCUUUUUAACAUUAGACUUAUUGAAGAUGACUAUUUUGUCCUCAAUGUUAAUGGAAAUAAUCGAAAUAUUGUUUAAACCAAACAAUCACUGUUGUGUAGCCAGUAAGUGAUAAGUGAUUGGAUAUCAGAAUUUUAAUCCGAUAUGAUUUUUAGAUCGGUAAUAGAAUUUCACCAGAAAGUAAAACAGUUAGGUAAUCUUAUCGUGAACGUGAGAACAAAGUUACAAAAUUCAAAGAUUUUAAUUGGAGGUUUAAAGAAAAAGUUUAAUACCUUAUCAAAUCGAAGUCUGAUUUUUUAAAUGUCCACAAUUCGAAACCUAAAGAAAGAUCUUUACCUAUGAUUAUAUUAGAUGUAAUAGCAGUCUUCAUAACUGAAAAUAUUUGGGCUGUAUUUUCUCUUAUGAAAUGCUUAAAGGUGACUGUUUUGUUUUUAAAUAACCCAAGUCAUGUUCAAGUAAUUACGGUAAGUGUAGGUUGGUAAUAUAGGUAUUUUGAAACGUACUAUUAUACUAUGGAAACAAGGAAAAUCUUGUAUAAACUAAGAAAUCCAAAUCAUUUAACGGGUUUUUGCUGCGGUUAUUCAUUGUAAAUCCAUACGCAACUAUGUGACUUUAUGGUUUUUAUUAACAUUCUAUAGUUGUUUGUAAAUAAUUACUUAUGAACAUAACGUACCUAACCAUACUUAGAUUGAGAUUAAUUGUUCAAUAGUUAUCAAUAUGCGUUCUCAUUUACCCAAUUAUUAAACAUGUUAUAGUGUAUUCCGAGUUGCGAGAAUUGGGUCAAGUUAAAAUGUAUAUCAACAGGGGUGAAUUAGAGAGCACCACAAUAUCUGUGUCUACCCCUUCUCAUAAAGACGGCGUGAUUAUAAUAAUUAUUAUGCCCUUUUAAUCUGACAACAAUGACGUACAGAUAAUUUGCAGACCUGUCAAUAUUUAUUAGAAACUGUCAGAGUCGAUUUGAGAAAAUUAUUUACAAGCGAGCCGAUGUUUAGCUGAAAUAAAGGUAUCCAAGACAAGCAUGAUUGAUUUAAACGAUAUCAAAAUUAAGUUUCGUGUUACCAAAGGCAUUUAAUCAAUUUGUGCAAUAACAAUACUUUGUUUACUGUUUUGUUUAGUUUCAAAUAACAUUACUUAGUCCAGAGAAUGCUACUUAAAACUUCGAUUCAGUAAUAUUUCUUUCGUUAAAUACAAUUUGACAAUUGAAAACAUGUUUUGACAAUCUAUUUAUCCACUGUUAACAGUUUUACAAAAAGUAAACAGUAGGUUCGUAUCGUGGUGGCCAGCAGGUUUGAGAGACUCUUCUCAUGCAUGAGAAUGGGUUCAAAACCUGUAAACAUCCAACACCAAUGUGACUUUUUCCGAGUUAUAUGUUUAAGAGGUGAAGGAAAACAUCGUGAGGAACACUAAGAAAUAUAUGUUUGAAAUCGCCAAAUCACAUUAAGUAAGGGUGGUGAUUAAUGCUCAAAUUUUCUCCGUACCAGAAGAGGCCUUCGGUCAGCAGUAGCCACUUAUAUGCUGUUGAUGUAUAAUAUAAACAGGUGUAAAGAAAAAAAAAUUAAGACUCUAUUGAUUACAUUAUAUUGAGUGAACUCAUAGACAUUAAUAAACAUGGUAAAUAUCCCGUCUUAAGUUCUAAUGUUACUGUAUUGAUUUCCGAAAUUAAUUGCCAUUUAGGUGCGUACAAAGAUAUGCGCAUUUAGAGAACUGCGUCUGAUCUUUCAUCUAAGAUAAAUAUAAAAUAUGUAAAGUACGGCUUGUACCUUAGAAUUACAAAGCAAAGCGUUAGAUUAUCCUUAAAGUUUAGUCACCAACCUUAUCGUAUAUAAAUCAAGUAAUGCGAUGUAAGGCCAUCAUUCGAGUAAAGUGGAGCAACACACAUCAACAUGAAACUGUUCAACCUGCUGGUGCUGGUCCUCGCGGUGGUCGCCAUGUUGAUGGGCGGCGCCAGCGCAUACCCCAAGGGCACGGGUACUGCGUUAUCAAAAGGAGCUAAAGCCGCCAAAGGAGCAAUCGGUGCGAUUGGAGCCAUCGGCACCGGCCGCGAAAUUUACGAACACGUAAAGAACAAGGGAUAAAUAAAUACUGUCAGAAAUAUAAGUCAUAUUAUAAAGCACCCUUUAUAAUAUGUUAAAAUUGUCUAAAUGUGUAUUGAUUUUCAUUGUAUUCAUUUAAAAAAUAUACUUAUUGUGUUAUAAA
This is a long non-coding RNA of Spodoptera frugiperda (fall armyworm), 2574 nucleotides long. RefSeq lists it as uncharacterized. The record is from RefSeq and is a predicted model, not a curated record. The transcript has 2 exons. NCBI's taxonomy places the organism in Eukaryota, Metazoa, Arthropoda, Insecta, Lepidoptera, Noctuidae.